Molecule: long non-coding RNA, 5857 nt
Organism: Cydia fagiglandana
Lineage: Eukaryota; Metazoa; Arthropoda; Insecta; Lepidoptera; Tortricidae
Exons: 2
Source: RefSeq, a predicted model, not a curated record
CGGCGGUGAGAACCCGUUCCUGGGCGUGGCCUACAUCGUGGUGGGCACGCUCUGCCUGCUGCUGGGGAUCGUGCUGCUCGUCAUACACGUGCGGUGCUCCAAGAGGUAACUACUGACCUAUAGUGAACCUUACGUCUUUGAGAUAGGGUGUAAUGCUGCUCGGCGGUGAGAACCCGUUCCUGGGCGUGGCCUACAUCGUGGUGGGCACGCUCUGCCUGCUGCUGGGGAUCGUGCUGCUCGUCAUACACGUGCGGUGCUCCAAGAGCACCACCGAGAUGAUCAACGUGAACCCGCGAACGCCGUACUCCUAAACGGUGUCACAGGUAACGCUAUUCAGAAUCAAUCCGUCUCUAUCUACCAAGUGGUGCCAGAAUGGGACGAAUAUCUUUAUCAUCAUCAUACCUAGGUCUAAUAGAAAUUGUCAGGCCGGUGGACCAUAUCAGUAACAAAAAUGUGUAGACAUUAAAAUAUAUUUUAUAUUCUUUUUGGAUGACAGUGCUAAUAAUAAAAACCGGUCUGUGGGGUUCCGUAGUUGCCCGUCCGUCACAAAAGGCAAAGUUUAUAGGCAAAUUCCUGGUUGAAUACGGAACUCUAAUAUUUGUUAUAUCCGGUUAAACAAGUUUGUUAGUAAAAAAAGGCGCGAAAUAAAAAAAAUAUUGGGAUGAUAACCCUUCGCGUCUACAGUUUUUAAAUUUGCUCCUUUUUUACUAACGGAAAUGGCUUGACAGAGUAUAAUUACUCUGUUUUAUAGGAUUUUGCUACUGAUAUGGUUGGCUAGCCCACUUAGAGUGCAAAACAAUCUUAGCACCAACGCAACGAUGCCUUUUCCAACUACUGUAGGUACUACCAAAGAGUUAUUAACUGAAAAGUUGCGUGAAAUAGAGUCGCUAGAUUGCCCCAAACUCUUGUAUGAAUGUUUCGUCGGGUGACAAGCAAAAGUCACUAAGGACUAUCAAAAAAUUAAAGUAACAAUGCACUUUAUUACACUUGUAACACGGUUUAUUGUCCAAUAAUUUCAAUGGUGUUUGUUAGUGACUUUUGCUUGUCACCCGACCGUUUGAAAGUUGUUACUAUUUUUAACAUCUCGUGGUUAACAUUUAGGUGACAAGUAAAAGUCACUAAUUAAAAAAAAAUUAACAAAAAUCGACCUUCUUUUAGUACUUAUAUGGUUCACUAUGGCUAUGAACACUAUGGCUUGUGGUGGUACUUAGUGACUUUUGCUUGUCACACGACGAUUUAAUGACAAAGUACUCUUGUUACCUUUUUGCUCUAUGGUCCUUGACACUUUUGAAAAAAAUAAUACAUAUUAUCAAGUAGAAGUUUUUUUUAUUAACUUUAUAUACUAAAAAGUUGCACGUCCACAGUUUAUUUUGAUGAAAUUUUAAAAAUUAUUUGAAUUAAACGUAAAUAAAGAUACAAAAUACCUAGUUAUAUUUUUUUGAGACCACGUAUGAAUCCGAUUUGCAUUUUAUCCAAUUUUAGUUGCAGUCUCUAAAAAUGAAAACAAUGAAAUGUCAUUGUAAAUUAAAAUAGAAUGGAAUGUAUUAUUUUAUUAGCAAGCGUGUACAGUCAACAACAGAGCUAUGAAUACAGGCAAAGUGCCAAUAAUAUGUAUACACCUUAAUGUACAGGCAAUAAAGUACUGUAUACAUAUUUUUGGCACUUUGCCUGUAUUCAUAGCUCUGUUGUUGACUGUACACGUGUGAUUGUGUGUCACCCCAUGAAGACGUCCAUAGGCUACGAUAAUCACUUACCAUCAGGCGGGCUGUAUGUUUGAUUGCAAACAUUUUAAAUUACAACUACUAAUAUUAACUGUAUAAAUGAGUUAACGAAAAACGAAAGUUUGCACAUUUUCGUAUUCUCGAUUUGAAAAGUACCUACUCGAUCGUAAGAUCAAGUUCCUUAUUAAGGUUGAUUAUUGCUUAUUUAAACAACUUUUGUGCAGGAUGUGGGUCUCGGAGUAAUUAACAAUGGAGCCGCCAUUAACAGGCUUUCCCCUCUGUCGAAAAUAGGCGGCCAAUGGUCAACCACAUGUCAACCAUAUGUAUGGACUGACGUUUAUCUGACAUGACGUACCUAUACAUUUGAUGUGCCCCUCCCCCGCAAAAACGGCAGACUAUUUUGUACCGAAAAUUUUAGACAUGGCGUCUCCGUUGGUUAUACCCUCUAAGAUGUGGGUAUUUAAAAUCUAUAUUUUACAUAUUUUAUGUAGAAAUGGUAAAUUAACAAUUAUUUGUUGUGUUUAAGUAUUGUUUAAUUUUAAUAUAAAAUAUUUCAGAAUUAUUGCACAUGAUACUUAAAUAAAUUACUUACACACGUAGAUGUGUUAGAUUUUUGUUAAAAUUGUAAAGUAGAGACAAAAAAUAACGGCUUCGAAUAUAAAUUGAUUAUAAUGUAUUCUCUAAAUAAUGAAUUAAUUAAUCAACUACUUUGCCAUUUUGCCAAUCUCUUGAGUUAAGUGAUAGGUCUUUACAUGCGAAUCAGGCCCUACCGUGAAAACCGAAACUUGAAAUUUCGUUAUAGAAAAGAAAGAAAGAAAAUAUACAUUUAUUUACGUCAAACAAAACCAGUUAAAUUAAAAACAAGACAUAGGUCAGAUGGACCUUAAAAAGGACCCCCCCCCCACUCAGCGAAUAUGCAAGAGCGAUAGAGAGGCAUAGGUAUAACGAAACUUCGAUUUUCGUUUUUCGCGGUAGGCGUUCAGUAAAUUAACAAGUUUUGUGCUAAAUGGCAUCCCAAUGCCUACAGCCGUAUUCGAACAAUGAGAUACGUCAAAUACUAGAUAUUGAAACGAUAUGGAUUGGAUAUGUCAGUGUCAAAAAUGACGUUUUUGUUUGAAGAAAAGUCAAUUUUGACACUUGUUUGAAACUGACAUAUCUAAUCCAUAUCGUUUCCAGAUCUAUUAAUUGACUUAUCUUAAAGUUAGAAUCGGACCGCUAGUCUCAAUUAAAGGUUGCAUUUGAGUUAGUAGACAUAACAUUUUCUGCGGUAUGUAAAUAUAAAAGACAUAUUAAUGCAAUAUAAGUAUAUAUCAUAAAAGGAUAGAUUCCUUCUGUAUUAUUUUGUAUGUAUCUCGCUCUUUGCUUUAAAUUGAAGUGAUACUAACCUGCGAUUUAUUUAUUGAAAUAUUUUUUAUUUGAACUAAUGUUUUAGUUCGUUUUUUUAGCAUUAGAAAUAAGGUAAACAAUCUUGACGUGUCUUUUAAAUGAAAAACACAUGUUAAAAAUAAGUUACGGCAAUUAUGUAACAUUUAUGAAUCUAAUACGAUCAUUUAUAUUCUUCUGCUUUCAUAAGUAAUAGUUAUAGAUUUUUAAAAAGCGUUUUUCAAUUAAAAGACAUGUUGAGAUCGCUUACCUUCUUCCAAGUUCUUUCUAAUGCUAAAAAAAACGAACUAUAGUUUAUUAAUUAGGAUUCAACUUAAAUAAUAAAUGUUAAUGAAUUUUAUUAUGUACUAAUUAAGAUUUCAAGUGCCUUCUUGUUCACAGUAGACGCUUUUGUGUAAUAUUCGAGCAUUAUUUCCAUUAUUACCGAUGGAUUAAUGAUUCAUAUUUGUAGCAUUCUAAUUAGCAACAAAAAUAAAUUAAAAGCAACGAUUUAAUGGAAUGCAUUUAUCUAUAAAAAGCGAUCGAAUGAUUAUUUUCCUGCGCAAGACGCGAUCUCGCAUAAAACCUAAGUUUUAUUGCAUAACCGCGACCACCGAAGUUCGCAAAUCGCGGGCAUCUUUCAUUGUCACUCUAAUUAUAUAAGUAAAAGAGAUAGAUGCCCGCAGUGGUCACGGUAGGCCCUCUGAUCCACACUUUAAAGUUUAAGAUGAAAUAGUGCUCUCGAGUUUGACAGCUGAAGAUGGCGGAAUUGUCAAACGUCAACUUCUGGCUACUGAAUAAUACCUACAUAUAGUCUGACAAAAAAGAGUAGAAAUGAAAAAGUGGCAAUACUGUAGUGUCGUCCCUUUCAAAUCAAUCUAUAUAAGAAAACGGGACGACACUACAGUUUGCCAUUUUUUAAUUUCUACGCUUUUUUGUCAGACUAUAGAGUCGUGCAGUGCCAUUCACAUUAGCUGUCAAAUUCCAACAUCAUCAAUGGGUCUUUGCAGAAAACCAAUGAGACGACUUUUUCAACUUACCGGAUUAACGCUGCGUCCUACGCAAGCGAACAACUCGCGAACGUGACGCGGCGCGGCGCGGCGGGCCCAAGGCAUUCGCGUUCGCAACGAGAUCGCCCACGUAGGACACUUGUAUAGGUAUCAAAGGAUUGAUUCACCCUGCUUCGCUUCGCGUUCGCGUGUUGUUCGCCUACGUAGUACGCUGCGUAAAUACGCAACGGUGUUUUAAAACGUGCGCAGUGUAAGAGUUACAUAUUGUGAGCAUAACUACCCGUACCUAAAGUCAAAAAUAUAGUAUAAGAAAUAUAAUACCUAUGAAUAAUGUAAUAUUCAAGCACUUGGACCAAAUCAUGAAAUAUAAUAAUAGCUUUUGAUAUGUAUGUAUAAUGCUUUUAUUAAUUAUUAAGUCAGUAUUAAUGCCCUCUGGAUUCUUAACAAUAACAAAUAUUUCUUUGAGAUUUGUUUUUUAGAGUUUGUUGUUAUUGUUAACGUAUUGAUUUCUAAAAACAUUGUAUAUCUCGUUUUAAAUUUGUCGUCUUUACUCAAAGAGAACAUAACUAUGUAUUCGUUAAAUGUGGAUGUUAUGUUACUGUACCUACUGAAUUGUUUUUCUGAAAUGAAUUUGACUAAAUUAAACAAUGAGAUGUUCAGAUACUAUGCGCCAUGAUAUGCAAAGUUUAUAGACAACAAUACAAUUGGACGUAGUUUAGGGUAAAAGAUCCAAUCCACAAAAAUUUGUUAGUGAAAUUUGAACUUUCUUUCAAACGGAAAAGUCAUUCAUUUAAAUGACAAAUUUUAGAGGAUGGAUCUUUUACGCUAAACUACGUCCAAUUUAAACCCGAAAUUAUUAACCUUUCUUAUGUUUGUGGUGGUUCAAACAGAAAAAAAAACAAUAAAAUAAUAUUGUCUUCGGUUACAAGCAAUAAAAUGACAAAACAUCGGCAAGGAUCAUACACAGACGAGAGACUAAGGCCUGAAACGAGACAACUACCAUAUUAACCCUUUAUAAGGCAGAGGCGAUAUAUCGACCACAUACGCUCAAUCAGAAAUUCAACCAUACUGUUUUAAUAAUAGGGCUCAAAAUCGUUUGCAUUAAUUGAAUAUUCAACUUGCUUUUAAAAUAGAUUUUUGAAAUGUAGGCUUCUGAUAGCUGCAACAAAUUCUGCGAUAGCACGUCCCUGUCAACGGGCCUUAUAAAGGGUUAAAGGAGUAAAUAGUGCGAAAUAUUGUAGCUAAAAUUUUGAUACCUAGCUGUAAUAGGCGUAACUGUACGACCACAUACAUCAUCAUCAUCAUCGGCCUACUCUCGUCCACUGCUGGACAUAGGCCUCUCCUAUUGCACGGCAUUGAGCAUGAUUUGCGGCAACUCUGAUCCAGCUCUUGCCAGCCACCUUGCGAAGGUCAUCGCUCCCUCUAGGCGGGUACAUACGCUUUGUGCUAACUGCAUAUAGUUACGUUAGUGUUUGAGCUACGCCAUUAUGGGCCGUAUUACAGGGCCGUUCAGCGCGAUCUUCUAAAUUCUAAAUUAUAUUUUGCACUAUUUUGUCUCAGAAUUUCUUUGUCUGUCAUAUAUUUUAAUUUAUCAUUAUUUCUGUAAGUAUGUAUACUUAUGUAUUUAUUUGCUAUUCGGAAUUAACUACACUUAUUGGAUCUCUAGGUACAAUAUGUAUUGAAUAUUUUAGAUCAAUGUUUUUAUGUCUUAGGAUUAGUUGUUACAUAUUAAAUAAAUGUUUAGAUAUUUAAAGAUAAUAACAA